GGUUAAGCGACUAAGCGUACACGGUGGAUGCCCUGGCAGUCAGAGGCGAUGAAGGACGUGCUAAUCUGCGAAAAGCGUCGGUAAGGUGAUAUGAACCGUUAUAACCGGCGAUGUCCGAAUGGGGAAACCCAGUGCAAUUCGUUGCACUAUCGUUAACUGAAUACAUAGGUUAACGAGGCGAACCGGGGGAACUGAAACAUCUAAGUACCCCGAGGAAAAGAAAUCAACCGAGAUUCCCCCAGUAGCGGCGAGCGAACGGGGAGCAGCCCAGAGUCUGAAUCAGCUUGUGUGUUAGUGGAACGGUCUGGAAAGUCCGACGGUACAGGGUGAUAGUCCCGUACACCAAAAUGCACAGGCUGUGAACUCGAAGAGUAGGGCGGGACACGUGGUAUCCUGUCUGAAUAUGGGGGGACCAUCCUCCAAGGCUAAAUACUCCUGACUGACCGAUAGUGAACCAGUACCGUGAGGGAAAGGCGAAAAGAACCCCGGCGAGGGGAGUGAAAAAGAACCUGAAACCGUGUACGUACAAGCAGUGGGAGCCCCACCACUAAGCCAGUGGUGAACUCCACAUAUGCAUCCUUUGCUGAAGGUGCGGUUAACGGAGCGUAAGCGACGUUCAACCUCAAAAGAAGCAGAGGGGGCUUAGUGGUGGGGUGACUGCGUACCUUUUGUAUAAUGGGUCAGCGACUUAUAUUCUGUAGCAAGGUUAACCGUAUAGGGGAGCCGCAGGGAAACCGAGUCUUAACUGGGCGUUAAGUUGCAGGGUAUAGACCCGAAACCCGGUGAUCUAGCCAUGGGCAGGUUGAAGGUUGGGUAACACUAACUGGAGGACCGAACCGACUAAUGUUGAAAAAUUAGCGGAUGACUUGUGGCUGGGGGUGAAAGGCCAAUCAAACCGGGAGAUAGCUGGUUCUCCCCGAAAGCUAUUUAGGUAGCGCCUCGUGAACUCAUCUUCGGGGGUAGAGCACUGUUUCGGCUAGGGGGUCAUCCCGACUUACCAACCCGAUGCAAACUACGAAUACCGAAGAAUGUUAUCACGGGAGACACACGGCGGGUGCUAACGUCCGUCGUGAAGAGGGAAACAACCCAGACCGCCAGCUAAGGUCCCAAAGUCAUGGUUAAGUGGGAAACGAUGUGGGAAGGCACAGACAGCCAGGAUGUUGGCUUAGAAGCAGCCAUCAUUUAAAGAAAGCGUAAUAGCUCACUGGUCGAGUCGGCCUGCGCGGAAGAUGUAACGGGGCUAAACCAUGCACCGAAGCUGCGGCAGCGACACUAUGUGUUGUUGGGUAGGGGAGCGUUCUGUAAGCCUGCGAAGGUGACCUGUGAGGGUUGCUGGAGGUAUCAGAAGUGCGAAUGCUGACAUAAGUAACGAUAAAGCGGGUGAAAAGCCCGCUCGCCGGAAGACCAAGGGUUCCUGUCCAACGUUAAUCGGGGCAGGGUGAGUCGACCCCUAAGGCGAGGCCGAAAGGCGUAGUCGAUGGGAAACAGGUUAAUAUUCCUGUACUUGGUGUUACUGCGAAGGGGGGACGGAGAAGGCUAUGUUAGCCGGGCGACGGUUGUCCCGGUUUAAGCAUGUAGGCUGGUUAUCCAGGCAAAUCCGGAUAAUCAAGGCUGAGGUGUGAUGACGAGGCACUACGGUGCUGAAGUAACAAAUGCCCUGCUUCCAGGAAAAGCCUCUAAGCAUCAGGUAACAUCAAAUCGUACCCCAAACCGACACAGGUGGUCAGGUAGAGAAUACCAAGGCGCUUGAGAGAACUCGGGUGAAGGAACUAGGCAAAAUGGUGCCGUAACUUCGGGAGAAGGCACGCUGGUGUGUAGGUGAAGUCCCUGCGGAUGGAGCUGAGACCAGUCGAAGAUACCAGCUGGCUGCAACUGUUUAUUAAAAACACAGCACUGUGCAAACACGAAAGUGGACGUAUACGGUGUGACGCCUGCCCGGUGCCGGAAGGUUAAUUGAUGGGGUUAUCCGUAAGGAGAAGCUCUUGAUCGAAGCCCCGGUAAACGGCGGCCGUAACUAUAACGGUCCUAAGGUAGCGAAAUUCCUUGUCGGGUAAGUUCCGACCUGCACGAAUGGCGUAAUGAUGGCCAGGCUGUCUCCACCCGAGACUCAGUGAAAUUGAACUCGCUGUGAAGAUGCAGUGUACCCGCGGCAAGACGGAAAGACCCCGUGAACCUUUACUAUAGCUUGACACUGAACAUUGAGCCUUGAUGUGUAGGAUAGGUGGGAGGCUUUGAAGCGUGGACGCCAGUCUGCGUGGAGCCAACCUUGAAAUACCACCCUUUAAUGUUUGAUGUUCUAACGUUGGCCCCUUAUCGGGGUUGCGGACAGUGUCUGGUGGGUAGUUUGACUGGGGCGGUCUCCUCCCAAAGCGUAACGGAGGAGCACGAAGGUUAGCUAAUCCUGGUCGGACAUCAGGAGGUUAGUGCAAUGGCAUAAGCUAGCUUGACUGCGAGCGUGACGGCGCGAGCAGGUGCGAAAGCAGGUCAUAGUGAUCCGGUGGUUCUGAAUGGAAGGGCCAUCGCUCAACGGAUAAAAGGUACUCCGGGGAUAACAGGCUGAUACCGCCCAAGAGUUCAUAUCGACGGCGGUGUUUGGCACCUCGAUGUCGGCUCAUCACAUCCUGGGGCUGAAGUAGGUCCCAAGGGUAUGGCUGUUCGCCAUUUAAAGUGGUACGCGAGCUGGGUUUAGAACGUCGUGAGACAGUUCGGUCCCUAUCUGCCGUGGGCGCUGGAGAAUUGAGGGGGGCUGCUCCUAGUACGAGAGGACCGGAGUGGACGCAUCACUGGUGUUCGGGUUGUCAUGCCAAUGGCACUGCCCGGUAGCUAAAUGCGGAAGAGAUAAGUGCUGAAAGCAUCUAAGCACGAAACUUGCCCCGAGAUGAGUUCUCCCUGAGACUUUAAGUCUCCUGAAGGAACGUUGAAGACGACGACGUUGAUAGGCCGGGUGUGUAAGCGCAGCGAUGCGUUGAGCUAACCGGUACUAAUGAACCGUGAGGCUUAACCUU
Molecule: ribosomal RNA, 3005 nt
Filed under: Klebsiella quasipneumoniae
Lineage: Bacteria; Pseudomonadati; Pseudomonadota; Gammaproteobacteria; Enterobacterales; Enterobacteriaceae
Description: 23S ribosomal RNA
Rfam family: Bacterial large subunit ribosomal RNA
Source: RNAcentral